RNAcentral lists this ribosomal RNA (481 nucleotides) under uncultured bacterium. RNAcentral's name for it is "bacterial SSU rRNA". It matches the Rfam family "Bacterial small subunit ribosomal RNA", at positions 30 to 507 of the family's 1533-position model. The record is from RNAcentral.
AUUGAACGCUGGCGGAAUGCUUUACACAUGCAAGUCGAACGGUAGAGGGGGCAACCCCUUGAGAGUGGCGAACGGGUGAGUAAUAUAUCGGAACGUGCCCAGUCGUGGGGGAUAAACGUAGCGAAAGUUACGCUAAUACCGCAUACGAUCUAAGGAUGAAAGCAGGGGAUCGCAAGACCUUGCGCUGAUUGAGCGGCCGAUAUCAGAUUAGCUAGUUGGUGGGGUAAAGGCCUACCAAGGCGACGAUCUGUAGCGGGUCUGAGAGGAUGAUCCGCCACACUGGAACUGAGACACGGUCCAGACUCCUACGGGAGGCAGCAGUGGGGAAUUUUGGACAAUGGGGGCAACCCUGAUCCAGCCAUGCCGCGUGAGUGAAGAAGGCCUUCGGGUUGUAAAGCUCUUUCGGCCGGGAAGAAAUCGCAUAGGCUAAUACCCUGUGUGGAUGACGGUACCGGAAUAAGAAGCACCGGCUAACUACGUG